Molecule: long non-coding RNA, 237 nt
Filed under: Mytilus galloprovincialis (Mediterranean mussel)
Lineage: Eukaryota; Metazoa; Mollusca; Bivalvia; Mytilida; Mytilidae
Source: RNAcentral
AUAUACGAGGGCCCUCAUGGGGUUUUUGAUUAUGUGAUUACUUGGCCGUUUUUUUAAUGAUUAUUUGAUUAUUAAGCCAAAUAUUUCAUGAUUAUUUGAUUACCUAGGACUGUAUUUUUAGUUUAUGAUUAUUUGAUUACUAAAGAUAAGCAAAUAUUUAAUGAUUAUGUGAUUAUAUUGGCAAAAAAAUGGUGAUUAUGUGAUUACUAGGACCCCCCCAUGAGGGGCCUCAUAUAC